Camellia sinensis is the source of this 690-nucleotide non-coding RNA. The record is from RefSeq and is a predicted model, not a curated record. NCBI's taxonomy places the organism in Eukaryota, Viridiplantae, Streptophyta, Magnoliopsida, Ericales, Theaceae.
UUCCUCACACAAAAAAAAUCUCUAUAAAAUGCCCAAGCACACACGUACCGUCGUAACCCAAUAAGCCGAUUCAAUUUCCAACCCAAAGCAUCGUGCAAACUUUCUCUCUCUAGAACUCUCUCGUUGUCUCUCUCAUCACAUACGAUUCCUCAUUUCCUCUCUGGCAUUUUUCUUCAGAUCUCAGACGCAUUGAAUUGAUCAGAAUCAUACAAUUUUGAUACAUCUGAUCUCAAUUUUGGCCGAUCGGGAUUCAAUUUUGUGUGUGAAUUUACAUGCAUAGAGAUAGAGAGAGAUAGAGAGAUUGAUUUUGAUUGAAGAAAGCAAAAUUGCUUUUUGAGAGAGACAGAGAGUGUGUGUGUGAGUUAGGUAUAGAAAAAUAGGCGCAUGAGCUGUUUGGUCAAUCUGGAGUUCUCUUCUUCGAAUUCAAACCACUUCAUAACGUGCCUUCUCGUUUUUAUUCUUCAUUACUCACCUCAAUUGCCUCCUCUUACCUUGUUUAAUUUUGAGAAACCCUUGGAACCUAGAGCGAACUUCUCAUUAAUAUCGUUAUUAUUGCUGUUGUUAAGUAAUUUUAAUCACAGUAAUCUCUUUAAUCAUUGCCGAUCGUCGUCUAAUCAUGGAGUCGCGAGAACAGAGUAAUCGCCAAUUAACCAAGGUUCCUUGCUAUUCAAAUGUUGAGAGGAGACAUGG